CGCGUGAGUAACCUGCCCUGGAGUGGGGGACAACAGUUGGAAACGACUGCUAAUACCGCAUAAGCCCACGGAUUCGCAUGGAUCUGCGGGAAAAGGAUUUAUUCGCUUCAGGAUGGACUCGCGUCCAAUUAGCUAGUUGGUGAGGUAACGGCCCACCAAGGCGACGAUUGGUAGCCGGACUGAGAGGUUGAACGGCCACAUUGGGACUGAGACACGGCCCAG
Molecule: ribosomal RNA, 222 nt
Filed under: uncultured bacterium
Lineage: Bacteria
Description: partial 16S ribosomal RNA
Rfam family: Bacterial small subunit ribosomal RNA
Source: RNAcentral